AUUGAACGCUGGCGGCAGGCCUAACACAUGCAAGUCGAACGAGUCGCGGACGGCUGAGUAAUGUCUGGGAAACUGCCUGAUGGAGGGGGUUCACUACUGGAAACGGUAGCUAAUACCGCAUAACAUCCGAUGUGCCCAUAUGGGAUUAGCUUGUUGGGGGGGUAACGGCUCACCAAGGCGACGAUCCGUAACUGGUCUGAGAGGAUGACCAGUCACACUGGAACUGAGACACGGUCCAGACGCCUACGGGAGGCAGCAGUGGGGAAUAUUGGACAAUGGGCGAAAGCCUGAUCCAGCCAUGCCGCGUGUGUGAAGAAGGUCUUCGGAUUGUAAAGCACUUUAAGUUGGGAGGCGUUACCAACAGAAUAAGCACCGGCUAACUUCGUGCCAGCAGCCGCGGUAAUUC
Molecule: ribosomal RNA, 406 nt
Filed under: uncultured bacterium
Lineage: Bacteria
Description: partial 16S ribosomal RNA
Rfam family: Bacterial small subunit ribosomal RNA
Source: RNAcentral